CCUACGGGAGGCAGCAGUGAGGAAUAUUGGACAAUGGGCGCAAGCCUGAUCCAGCCAUGCCGCGUGCAGGAAGAAGCAUCUAUGGUGUGUAAACUGCUUUUGUACAGGAAGAAACACUCCCUCGUGAGGGAGCUUGACGGUACUGUAAGAAUAAGGACCGGCUAACUCCGUGCCAGCAGCCGCGGUAAUACGGAGGGUCCGAGCGUUAUCCGGAAUCAUUGGGUUUAAAGGGUCCGUAGGCGGUUUAAUAAGUCAGUGGUGAAAUCUGGUCGCUCAACGAUCAAACGGCCAUUGAUACUGUUAGACUUGAAUUAUAAGGAAGUAACUAGAAUAUGUAGUGUAGCGGUGAAAUGCUUAGAUAUUACAUGGAAUACCAAUUGCGAAGGCAGGUUACUACUUAUGGAUUGACGCUGAUGGACGAAAGCGUGGGGAGCGAACAGGAUUAGAUACCCUGGUAGUCCACGCCGUAAACGAUGGAUACUAGCUGUUCGGAGCAAUCUGAGUGGCUAAGCGAAAGUGAUAAGUAUCCCACCUGGGGAGUACGUUCGCAAGAAUGAAACUCAAAGGAAUUGACGGNGNGAGAGNGCGACGACGACGACGAGGAGGAGG
This 609-nucleotide ribosomal RNA is filed under the name uncultured bacterium. RNAcentral describes it as "bacterial SSU rRNA". It matches the Rfam family "Bacterial small subunit ribosomal RNA", at positions 338 to 956 of the family's 1533-position model. The record is from RNAcentral.